Molecule: ribosomal RNA, 465 nt
Filed under: uncultured bacterium
Lineage: Bacteria
Description: partial 16S ribosomal RNA
Rfam family: Bacterial small subunit ribosomal RNA
Source: RNAcentral
CCUACGGGCGGCAGCAGUAGGGAAUCUUCCACAAUGGGCGCAAGCCUGAUGGAGCAACACCGCGUGAGUGAAGAAGGGUUUCGGCACGUAAAGCUCUGUUGUUGGAGAAGAACGUGCGGGUGAGUAACUGAUCACGCAGUGAUGGUAUCCAGCCAGAAAGUCCGGGCUAACUACGUGCGAGCAGCCGCGGUAGUACGUAGGGGGCAAGCGUUAUCCGGGAUUAUUGGGCGUAAGGCGAGCGCAGGCGGGUGCUUAGGUCUGAGGUGAGAGCUCUCGGCUUAACCGAAGAAGUGCAUCGGAAACUGGUGAACUUGAGUGCAGGAGAGGAAAGUGGAAUUCCUAGUGUAGCGGUGGAAUGCGUAGAUAUAAGGAAGAACACCAGUGGCGAAGGCGGCUGUCUGGUCUGCAACUGACGUUGAGGCUCGAAAGCAUGGGUAGCGAACAGGAUUAGAUACCCCUGUAGUC